This 497-nucleotide ribosomal RNA is filed under the name uncultured bacterium. RNAcentral describes it as "partial 16S ribosomal RNA". It matches the Rfam family "Bacterial small subunit ribosomal RNA", at positions 28 to 507 of the family's 1533-position model. The record is from RNAcentral.
GAUGAACGCUGGCGGCGUGCCUAAUACAUGCAAGUCGAGCGAACGGACGAGAAGCUUGCUUCUCUGAUGUUAGCGGCGGACGGGUGAGUAACACGUGGAUAACCUACCUAUAAGACUGGGAUAACUUCGGGAAACCGUAGCUAAUACCGGAUAAUAUUUUGAACCGCAUGGUUCAAAAGUGGAAGACGGUCUUGCUGUCACUUAUAGAUGGAUCCGCGCUGCAUUAGCUAGUUGGUAAGGUAACGGCUUACCAAGGCAACGAUGCAUAGCCGACCUGAGAGGGUGAGCGGCCACACUGGAACUGAGACACGGUCCAGACUCCUACGGGAGGCAGCAGUAGGGAAUCUUCCGCAAUGGGCGAAAGCCUGACGGAGCAACGCCGCGUGAGUGAUGAAGGUCUUCGGAUCGUAAAACUCUGUUAUUAGGGAAGAACAUAUGUGUAAGUAACUGUGCACAUCUUGACGGUACCUAAUCAGAAAGCCACGGCUAACUACGUG